GGGCAGUUGCCACGCAUGCCUAUCACAACAGUGCUGUUCCAGAGAAGAUUAUAGGCAUAACUGAACCAGGACCCAUGGUUGCUGUUGUGGUAGUAAUCUUGGUAAUUCUAGGUGGUGUGGUGUACAGCCUUCGACACUUCAAAAGACAGCCAGGUAUAGUACGGCAA
Long non-coding RNA from Gavialis gangeticus (Gharial), 167 nucleotides. RefSeq lists it as uncharacterized. The transcript has 2 exons. The record is from RefSeq and is a predicted model, not a curated record. NCBI's taxonomy places the organism in Eukaryota, Metazoa, Chordata, Crocodylia, Gavialidae.